CUACUUGACAAUUUGCUCAUGUGCUCAUAGCCAAUGCGUGCUAGUGAUGGGAAGAACUAUUCUUUUCAGUGUAUCGAUUCCCAACGCUUCAAUUGCUGGGAUGAGUCGAUUCUGCUCUAACGAUUCUUCCAUUCCCCCACACAAAUAAAUCAAGAGGUUUUUUUUUUAUUUAUUGGGUCCCUUCAUCAAAAUUUCCCACCAUGCUUCAAAUUAAUUGUCGAUUCUAAUAUUCAAUUGCCGCAAAGAAAAAUGUCUCAUAGCUUGAGUCUUAAUGAACUGGGCAGAACCUGGAAUUGGAACACUGAAACAAGAUGUUGCCGUUCUCGACGAUACGGCCGUGCCUCAGCGAACGGGAAAAAAUAGCGAAUGAAGAAAAGGAAUAGACCUAAAGAGGGAUUUACAAAUGGUCUCUGCUGGCAGUCAGG
Long non-coding RNA from Cimex lectularius (bed bug), 425 nucleotides. RefSeq lists it as uncharacterized. Lineage: Eukaryota; Metazoa; Arthropoda; Insecta; Hemiptera; Cimicidae. The transcript has 3 exons. The record is from RefSeq and is a predicted model, not a curated record.